AUGGGGCUCAGACCCUCAUGCCCUUUUAUGUCCCUGCAGGAUGUGCAUGGCCGGGACUUUGGGGCACGGGGCUCCGGUUCCCUGGUCCAGGCAGCGCUGACUCAGCCGCCCUCGGUGUCAGUGAAGCCGGGAGAAACCGUCAAGAUCACCUGCUCUGGGAGUGGUAGCAGCUAUGGCUGGAUCCAGCAGAAGGUGCCUGGUCGUGCCCCUGUCACUGUGAUCUAUGAUAACACCAACAGACCCUCGGACAUCCCUUCACGAUUCUCCGGAUCCCAGUCUGGCUCCACGGCCACGUUAACCAUCACUGGGGUCCAAGCCGAGGACGAGGCUGUCUAUUUCUGUGGUGGCUACGACAGCAGUGCUGAGCAGGUGAUCUUGACGGUUUCUCCCGGCUUCGCCGACACCGAGGGCGGCUGA
Molecule: non-coding RNA, 417 nt
Organism: Apus apus (common swift)
Lineage: Eukaryota; Metazoa; Chordata; Aves; Apodiformes; Apodidae
Source: the annotation of a RefSeq genome assembly